GACCCUUCCGGUUUUCAAUAUUGACCUCUGUUAUUGCAUAAGCGUAUAUCUAAUAUUAUAGGCAGGCAACUAUCUAGGGUUUAAUGUCAAGGAACGCAGGGACAUCGUCACUAUCUUGCAAGUCGUUAUUCUCAUCGGGUAAAUCCAGCAAAACAAAUCCAGCUGCUGUGGAACAAACUGAAGAAGAUUCACAACAUUCUAUACAUAUUGCAUGCAAAGGUACUCAAGUUAAAGAGGAGUUAGAAAAAGAAAAGCAAGAGCAGCAAAUUAAAGACCUGAAAGAUCUUUUGAUUACAAUUAAUCAGGAUAACUGGAAGUACAAACCAAUUGACGAAUUGCUUGGUUUGUCAUCUCAGUAAAUAAAAAAUAUGGCGGUUCAAACAGAAAGCACCAAGAAAAUGACAAAAGAAGAAAUCCUAAAGCAACUUCCUGAUGAUUUGGAAGAUCUGAGCAAAUUGUCAAAACUAAUAGGACCUCCUUCACCUGAAGACUAUAAGCCCAUUACGAUACCUGAGAAAAAGUCUUUUGGUGGAAAUUUUCUUCAGCAUUGCAAAGACAACCCUUUUGUUCCUUUAGGUUUGUCAGCAACUGUGCUUUUCCUAUUUAAUGGGCUCAGGCACAUGCGUUUGGGAAACCGACAGCAAUCCCAAGUCAUGAUGAGAGGACGUGUUAUGGCACAAGGUUUUACCAUAAUUGCUUUAACCUGUGGUGCAGUGUACCAAAGUGCGUUUAAGUCAAAGAAAGAAUGAAGUUUUAAAUCAUCCAUUGUUUUAUUUUUCUGAAUAAUGUGUGAAUAUAAAGUCGUUUGCUGAAUACAUAUUUGAUCCAAUU
Molecule: long non-coding RNA, 831 nt
Organism: Ciona intestinalis (vase tunicate)
Lineage: Eukaryota; Metazoa; Chordata; Ascidiacea; Phlebobranchia; Cionidae
Source: RefSeq, a predicted model, not a curated record